This 801-nucleotide ribosomal RNA is filed under the name uncultured bacterium. RNAcentral describes it as "bacterial SSU rRNA". It matches the Rfam family "Bacterial small subunit ribosomal RNA", at positions 1 to 800 of the family's 1533-position model. The record is from RNAcentral.
UUCGCCCUUAGAGUUUGAUCCUGGCUCAAGAUGAACGCUGGCGGCGUGCCUAACACAUGCAAGUCGAGCGAAGCACUUUACUUGAUUUCUUCGGAUUGAAGGUAUAGUGACUGAGCGGCGGACGGGUGAGUAACGCGUGGGUAACCUGCCUCAUACGGGGGGAUAACAGUUAGAAAUGACUGCUAAUACCGCAUAAGACCACAGCACCGCAUGGUGCGGGGGUAAAAACUCCGGUGGUAUGAGAUGGACCCGCGUCUGAUUAGCUAGUUGGUAAGGUAAGGGCUUACCAAGGCGACGAUCAGUAGCCGACCUGAGAGGGUGACCGGCCACAUUGGGACUGAGACACGGCCCAAACUCCUACGGGAGGCAGCAGUGGGGAAUAUUGCACCAUGGGGGAAACCCUGAUGCAGCGACGCCGCGUGAUUGAUGAAGUAUUUCGGUAUGUAAAGCUCUAUCAGCAGGGAAGAAAAUGACGGUACCUGACUAAGAAGCACCGGCUAAAUACGUGCCAGCAGCCGCGGUAAUACGUAUGGUGCAAGCGUUAUCCGGAUUUACUGGGUGUAAAGGGAGCGUAGACGGAGAGGCAAGUCUGAUGUGAAAACCCGGGGCUCAACCCCGGGACUGCAUUGGAAACUGUUUUUCUAGAGUGUCGGAGAGGCAAGUGGAAUUCCUAGUGUAGCGGUGAAAUGCGUAGAUAUUAGGAGGAACACCAGUGGCGAAGGCGGCUUGCUGGACGAUGACUGACGUUGAGGCUCGAAAGCGUGGGGAGCAAAAAGGAUUAGAUACCCUGGUAGUCCACGC